Molecule: ribosomal RNA, 253 nt
Filed under: uncultured bacterium
Lineage: Bacteria
Description: partial 16S ribosomal RNA
Rfam family: Bacterial small subunit ribosomal RNA
Source: RNAcentral
UACAGAGGGGGCGAGCGUUGUUCGGAAUUACUGGGCGUAAAGGGCGCGUAGGCGGCCCGCUAAGUCGAACGUGAAAUCCCCAGGCUCAACCUGGGAACUGCGUCCGAUACUGGCAGGCUUGAAUCCGGGAGAGGGAUGUGGAAUUCCAGGUGUAGCGGUGAAAUGCGUAGAUAUCUGGAGGAACACCGGUGGCGAAGGCGGCUACCUGGACCGGUACUGACGCUGAGGCGCGAAAGCUAGGGUAGCAAACAGG